Molecule: long non-coding RNA, 356 nt
Organism: Nematostella vectensis (starlet sea anemone)
Lineage: Eukaryota; Metazoa; Cnidaria; Anthozoa; Actiniaria; Edwardsiidae
Exons: 3
Source: RefSeq, a predicted model, not a curated record
GCCACGCUCCCCUCUGUCAUCAGGGGAUUUCUAAGGUUUCACGUCUACUUCACCACCCGGAGGAUACUCUACGAGUAUUAUUUUUGAGUGCUCAGGGGGCUGUAUCCGCGUUGUGCAUCGAUCAGGUUAACGGCUGCAUUGUGGCAGGAAUUCAGGAAGUGAUCAGGUCGUAAAAGAUCAACAAAAGAUAACAAGGAACAAUCAGAAGAUGCAAACAGUUAGGUGCAAGAUGAACAUGAACAGUGAGACCAAUGCAAGAUACUUUUUAAGAUUGUACAAAGGAAUAUUAUAUUUUAAAAUGAAAGAUGUAACAUGAUUUUUUUAAAUUCUUAGCAUUAAAGCACUCCUGAAGUCUA